RNAcentral lists this antisense RNA (195 nucleotides) under Salmonella enterica subsp. enterica serovar Typhimurium. It matches the Rfam family "Yersinia sRNA 276". The record is from RNAcentral. RNAcentral also lists the same sequence under 1 other name. Lineage: Bacteria; Pseudomonadati; Pseudomonadota; Gammaproteobacteria; Enterobacterales; Enterobacteriaceae.
CACCGACAUCAGCGAUUCAUUCUGCGAACCGUGGCCGACCGCCAGAUAAGCGUUCAUACCCAGUUCGCGCAUUUGCUGUUCGCCGAUCACGCGGGUAAUGACAUUUUUGCUGUAGCUGUCGGCCAACUGGCGCGCCUGUGACGCCAGGUAGGCGGCGUUACAGAUAUUGGGCGGCAUGUUGCCGAGAUCUUUCGC